RNAcentral lists this transfer RNA (88 nucleotides) under Sphaerotilus montanus. RNAcentral's name for it is "tRNA-Ser". It matches the Rfam family "tRNA". Rfam says of the family: Transfer RNA (tRNA) molecules are approximately 80 nucleotides in length. Their secondary structure includes four short double-helical elements and three loops (D, anti-codon, and T loops). Lineage: Bacteria; Pseudomonadati; Pseudomonadota; Betaproteobacteria; Burkholderiales; Sphaerotilaceae. The record is from RNAcentral. RNAcentral also lists the same sequence under 1 other name.
GGAAGGGUGGCAGAGUGGUCGAUUGUACUUGACUCGAAAUCAAGCGUACGGAAACGUACCGAGGGUUCGAAUCCCUCCCCUUCCGCCA